Molecule: ribosomal RNA, 1346 nt
Filed under: uncultured bacterium
Lineage: Bacteria
Description: bacterial SSU rRNA
Rfam family: Bacterial small subunit ribosomal RNA
Source: RNAcentral
GACGAACGCUGGCGGCGUGCUUAACACAUGCAAGUCGAACGGAAAGGCCCUGCUUUUGUGGGGUGCUCGAGUGGCGAACGGGUGAGUAACACGUGAGUAACCUGCCCUUGACUUUGGGAUAACUUCAGGAAACUGGGGCUAAUACCGGAUAGGAGCUCCUGCUGCAUGGUGGGGGUUGGAAAGUUUCGGCGGUUGGGGAUGGACUCGCGGCUUAUCAGCUUGUUGGUGGGGUAGUGGCUUACCAAGGCUUUGACGGGUAGCCGGCCUGAGAGGGUGACCGGCCACAUUGGGACUGAGAUACGGCCCAGGCUCCUACGGGAGGCAGCAGUGGGGAAUAUUGCACAAUGGGCGGAAGCCUGAUGCAGCAACGCCGCGUGCGGGAUGACGGCCUUCGGGUUGUAAACCGCUUUCGCCUGUGACGAAGCGUGAGUGACGGUAAUGGGUAAAGAAGCACCGGCUAACUACGUGCCAGCAGCCGCGGUGAUACGUAGGGUGCGAGCGUUGUCCGGAUUUAUUGGGCGUAAAGGGCUCGUAGGUGGUUGAUCGCGUCGGAAGUGUAAUCUUGGGGCUUAACCCUGAGCGUGCUUUCGAUACGGGUUGACUUGAGGAAGGUAGGGGAGAAUGGAAUUCCUGGUGGAGCGGUGGAAUGCGCAGAUAUCAGGAGGAACACCAGUGGCGAAGGCGGUUCUCUGGGCCUUUCCUGACGCUGAGGAGCGAAAGCGUGGGGAGCGAACAGGCUUAGAUACCCUGGUAGUCCACGCUGUAAACGGUGGGUACUAGGUGUGGGGUCCAUUCCACGGGUUCCGUGCCGUAGCUAACGCUUUAAGUACCCCGCCUGGGGAGUACGGCCGCAAGGCUAAAACUCAAAGGAAUUGACGGGGCCCCGCACAAGCGGCGGAGCAUGCGGAUUAAUUCGAUGCAACGCGUAGAACCUUACCUGGGUUUGACAUGGAUCGGGAGUGCUCAGAGAUGGGUGUGCCUCUUUUGGGGUCGGUUCACAGGUGGUGCAUGGCUGUCGUCAGCUCGUGUCGUGAGAUGUUGGGUUAAGUCCCGCAACGAGCGCAACCCUUGUUCACUGUUGCCAGCACGUUAUGGUGGGGACUCAGUGGAGACCGCCGGGGUCAACUCGGAGGAAGGUGGGGAUGACGUCAAGUCACCAUGCCCCUUAUGUCCAGGGCUUCACGCAUGCUACAAUGGCUGGUACAGAGAGUGGCGAGCCUGUGAGGGUGAGCGAAUCUCGGAAAGCCGGUCUCAGUUCGGAUUGGGGUCUGCAACUCGACCCCAUGAAGUCGGAGUCGCUAGUAAUCGCAGAUCAGCAACGCUGCGGUGAAUACGUUCCCGGGGCU